UUCACUUUUCAUUUUGACUCUCUCUCAAUUAACACUACUUUUUCUUCUGCUAUUCUCUGGAAGCUUCCUGAACAUGUUCUGUUUUUCUACUUUCGUCCUAGUCUCUCAAACCCUUUUAUUGAUAGACUCUGCAAGUUUAUUCUCUUUCUUCUCUCUUUGUUUUCACUCUCCACUAUUUCUCAACAGCAGGGUGCUCCUUGGUCAGUCUGUCUUCUUUCUGUUUCCGCUAUCGACAUUAUUUCACCAGCGACAUCCUCCGUGAUCGGAUUUCUUUGUGGCUGCUCUUCUUUCUUACUGAUUGAUGACUCUUUCUAUAGUCGAAGGUGGAAUACAAAACAAGGAAGAGAAGGAUAGCUAUAGGUUAAGAGGUUCAAAUUUUUUAAUAUUUUAUUUUUAUUAAUAAUUAAUUAUUUAUUUAUAUUAAAUGUAAUUAUGUAAGAUUGAUUGAUGUGAAAUUUGCAGAAAGAAAAAUUUUUGAGGUAUUAAUAUAACGUGAGGUUUGUAAUUUUUUACCUCUUGUUAAACAUUAGAUUUGUUGUUUUAUAUUUAUAUAUUUAUGAUGUCAUUUAUGUAUAGAUAUUUGUUUGUUUAAAUUUAUUUUUUUAUUUUAAUAUUAAUAUCUAUGUUUUAUAUUAAAUACAAUCAUAGGGGGUUAAUAGAUGACUCUUAUAAUUGAAGAUGGAGAUAUAAAAUAAAGAAGAUAAAAAAAAUUGUUGGUUUGAAUGUUUGAAUUUUUUAUAUAUAUAUUUUAAUUUUUUAAUUAAUAUUUAUUUAUUUAUUUAUAUUAGAUUCGAUCAAGAAUGAUUGAUGAAAAAUUUAUAAAAAGAAAAAAAAUUUAGUAAUUUUUUUUAAAGUAAUAUGAUGUGAAGUAUGUAUUUUUUGAUUUUUUUUGUUAAUGUUUAUUACCUAUUGUUAGAUCUUUUAAUUAUAAGUUGUGUUUUGUUGUUUCAUUAUUUAUAUAUUUAUAAUUUUAUUUAUGGAUGAAUAUUUGUUUUAUAGCAGAUGGUGGACAUAAAAAAAAUAAGAGAAGGUUAGCUAUGGGUUUUGAGGUUUAAAAUUUUUUAUUUUUAAAAUUUUUUAUUAAUAUUAAGUUUGCAUUUUUUGAUGUUUGUUUCUUGUUGAUAGGUGUUCUAACUAUGAGUUGGAUUUAUUAUUUCAUCAUUUAUAUAUUUAUAAUUUCAUUCAUGUAUAAGCAUUUGUUGUUCAAAUUUUUUAUUUUUUUAUUUUGUUAUUAAUAUUUAUUAUUCUAUAUUAAAUGCAAUCAUGCAAGUUGAUCGAUGACUUCUUUUACAGUCGAAAGUGGAGAUAUAUGAAAUGAUGUGAAUAAUAUUACCUUUGUACUACUACCAAACCCAAAGUGCAUGAAUUGUGCCUGGGCAUAAUAGUGAUUGAUAUUAAGAAUAAAUGAAGAUAUAGUUGAAUUAUGAAAUUUUGGUACCUUGGUCAUGUUCAUCUUAAGAGUGAAUUAAGGAGUGCAUGCGUAACUAUACUAAAUUUGGCUACUGGAUUUGUGAUAGUGUGAAAGUUCAUGAUGAAAAUAGUAAGCUUGUAAAAGUUAGACCAUUAGAGUGAUGUCUUUUUGAGGCCUUUCGCAUUUCAAAAUGGAAACGGAGAUGGAUGGUUAUAGAUUCUAUAUAUACGCAAACUAGAACCCAAGAAAGAGAAAUGAUGGCAUUGGAAUGAAUAGAAAUAAGUAAACUUGAAAUGAUGUUACAAAUCUUGCACAAUAUAUGGUUGGUGGAAAUGGAAAAUAUUGUUCUUUAAUAAUGUCACUAGGAACAUAGGUGUCUUGACUUGCCACAAUGUGAUAUUUUUAGAAUGAUCAUCACUAGUUUGGUUUUCAAAUCAAACACUUUGUCAAAGGUUUGCAAGGAUGGUGGUAACAUUUUUCCUAUAAAUGAUUCAAUAGUUAUCAUUAAACAUCACUGGGUAGGGAUGGUGGUAAGCAAGCGCAAUGGUCAUUGUCUUGCUUGUGAUUCUUGCAUGCACCAAUUGUGAUAAAGAGAAUUGAGAUUGGGCAACCAAUGAUAACUAAGCCCAUAGUGUAUUGCACUUUUAGAUGUCAUUGAGUAUAGGGUAGUGGAAUGUCUUGAGAAGACAAGUUGAAGAACCCAAUCCAAGAGAAAAACUUUUGUAUAUGCAAUAUGAUGUAAUCAAAUGAGUGAUGAGUAGUUUAGAAAAUUCGAGGACGAAUUUUCUUGAGAAGGGAGAAUGAGAAACCUUAACUUUUCAUUUGAAUGGAAUUUGAUGAAUGUUGAAUAUUUAAUGAGCUAUAUUUGAUUGUGUUAUUGGAUGGGCUUUCCCAACCAAUUUUCUUUAAAUUUAUCUUUCAUAUGGUGUUUUAAUUAUGGAAGUUUUUAGACUUAAAAUAGCUUUUGGAAGUAAGGAGGAUCGACUCUUGAAAGAGAAGGGUUGAUCCCUAGAAAACAGGACAAAAUAAAAAGCCCUAACUUAAUCUUUACUUCUUAUUUUUCAUUUCUUAAGCCUUCAUUCACUCUCUAAUAGCCUCAAAACCACUUUUACAACCAUUCGAUAUCCUAUUUAGCAAGGAAUCAACUUUCUAAACUCGAAUCUAAGGUGAGAUUUAUCAUUUUCAUGUUUUGGAAACCAUGGGUUUAACCUAACACCUUUUUGUACGAAUUCGAACUCAUUUAAUCCUUCAUUAAACUCGAAUCUAAUUGCCCUUGAACCAAUUGGAUUGGUCAACAAAUAUAUAUUACCAUUUAAUACAUAUUUAAUUACUUAACUAUAUGUGAUAGAGGUUUUUUUUCAUAUUAGUACAAUAAUAAGAAAUUAUUAAGUGUUAAUUGGAUUAAGCCCAUGGAACAUAUAAGUUUUGCAAGAGAAUUGUAAAGUUGUUAUAAUUAUGAGAUCUUUAUGCAUCAAAGUCAUGUUUCUAAAAUAAUUUUUGAUUAUUGUAUUGUCAACAUAGGGUAUUGACAAUGCUCAAAGAUUGAUACAUGUUAAGUUUCUUUACUUGAGAAGUAAGUAAAAGAUCUUAUAAAUUGAAGUAUAUGAGAUACUUAAGGAUGACAUGUGGGUGCUUAUUAGAGAACAAAUUUACUGAACAUGACCCACUGUGAGAACCCCAUUUGGUAUUUCACUAAGAUGUCUAUGGAAUAUGUUCUUAUGUUACAGUCAUGUUAUCAAUCCUUGAACUUGAGAUCCCAAGUCAUCUUUUAUGAGGAAAGACAUUUAGAUUUCACUUUUAUGGGUUUGGAGGCGAUUAGAUGUCUAAACAAAGUCUUUUUAGGUGUGCCGCAAGGCAUGCUAAGGUGGAUGAGUUAUUAAGAGAGGAUUUAACGCCUUAAGUGAUAUGAGGAGAUAUAUCUCACUUGUUCUCAACUUUAAAUUAACUUAUAUAAAGUCUUUGGUCAAAACAUAAUGAAUUUGAGGAAAGUUAGUUUCCUAAAUUCAUAAGGUUAGUCAUGAAUUACAAAAACUAAUAUGGAAUGUCAUAAGUAGACACUGAGUCAUGCUUUAUGACAUUUGAUAUAUUUGAUAAAAGGACCGUAUUGCAUUGAGAGACUUAUCACUAAAUGUUUUUGUCAAAUUUUUUAAUUGACUGUUUAAUAUUUGAGUUGUCAUGAUGUGUUGUUAAAUAUCGCUCAUGAUCUACAAAUAUAAAUUAAUUAAUAAAUUGAUAUUUGAUUAUGAUUUAUAUUUAUUACGGACAUGUUAGAAGCGUAAUGGGUCACACACAUUAAGUGACAUGAUUGAGAUUAAAGAGAGAUAAUUAAUUCAGUUAGACUUGAUUGAAAUAGAUCAAAAUAAAGUGAAAAAUAUAAGUUCACAAAGACUUAAAUUGAAUAGAAAUAAAAAUGUUGUAUCUAGGGUUACAACUUAGUUUGGCUAUAUAAAUAUGUUAUGUUAAGCAACUAAAACUUGAAGCUUUAAGCCACUUUUUAGCAGAUUCAUAAAAUAAGAAAAGAACAAUAAAUUUUUUGUCCGACAAAAAUAAGGUUUGGCUAGGGUUUUUGGUUUUUGUUUCUUUAAAAACAAAACUUGCAAUAGAACAAGUAAAAUAAAUCUUAUCUCUGAGAAGGUCUUAUUUGUUUACUGUAUGGAUUAUCGUUAGAGGCUAAACACUUGGGUGGCGGAAGAUUUAACAAAUCUUAAAAGUGAAGAAGCAAAGAUUUCAACUGUAAGAUUUCAGAUUGUUUUAUUCUCUUUGUGGGUUUCUUACUUCCUCAAAAGCUUUUUGGAUUUCAUUAGCUCUCGAGUACGAUAUUUGGAGCAAGGUAUGUAAUACUUGAAUUUAUGAGCAUUCAUAACUAAUAUGAAAAUUGCAUGAAAAACACAUAAUUUUUCUAAGGGAUUCGACUGGUUGUUUGAUUAAAUGUAUUAUCUUAUUUUUUCGUUAUGUUAUGCUUUUAAUUCAUUGAUUAAUUUCAUGUUUGAACAUGAGGUUGAAUCCCAACAUUUUACAAUUCAAAGAUGUUAAGUUAUGGAUGUUUAAGGCUGCUCCAUAAAUAAUUUAAGUUUGAAGUUUUGAAUAUUGUUGAAAUUGAAAUGAAAAAUAUUUGAUUACUUGACUAGUUUCGAAGGUGUGUUUGCUGGAGACUAUGAGAUUUAUAAUAGGAUUUAUUGUGCUAGGUGAUUGUUAGAGCUCGAGAUUGUAAAACGAGCAAAGUUAUGUGAUUUGGAGCUUAGAAAAAUAUACUUCUUGUCAAGGUGAAUGGUUACACCUCUUUCACUAUUUUACUAUGUAAAGUGAGCAUGUUUUAUGAGCUAUUUACCUUUGCAUGAUUUUUAUGUCAUUGGUAAAAAUGUUGGUUGUGAGAAUUAUGUUCAAACUUUUUCAAAAAUGUUUUGAACUUACCAUGAGCCUGUUUUGCUUGAUUUUUUUUAGCUUAAAAGCUAUUAUGAAGUUUUAAUGAAAAAUAAUAG
Molecule: long non-coding RNA, 4890 nt
Filed under: Theobroma cacao (cacao)
Lineage: Eukaryota; Viridiplantae; Streptophyta; Magnoliopsida; Malvales; Malvaceae
Description: long non-coding RNA (TCAC_LNC005937)
Source: RNAcentral